Molecule: non-coding RNA, 29 nt
Filed under: Mus musculus (house mouse)
Lineage: Eukaryota; Metazoa; Chordata; Mammalia; Rodentia; Muridae
Source: RNAcentral
UAGAGAUUAUACUUUUAUCUGCUCCGGUA